GCAGUUGUGGCCAAGUGGUUAAAGCGAUGGACUAGAAAUCCAUUGGGGUCUCCCCGUACAGAUUCAAAUCCUGUCGACUGCG
Ixodes scapularis (black-legged tick) is the source of this 82-nucleotide non-coding RNA. The record is from Rfam. NCBI's taxonomy places the organism in Eukaryota, Metazoa, Arthropoda, Arachnida, Ixodida, Ixodidae.